GGGUCUGAGAGGAUGAUCCCCCACACUGGUACUGAGACACGGACCAGACUCCUACGGGAGGCAGCAGUGAGGAAUAUUGGUCAAUGGACGCAAGUCUGAACCAGCCAUGCCGCGUGCAGGAUGAAUGCCCUAUGGGUUGUAAACUGCUUUUCUACAAGAAGAAACUUCCUGAUGUAUCAGGAACUGACGGUAUUGUAGGAAUAAGCAUCGGCUAACUCCGUGCCAGCAGCCGCGGUAAUACGGAGGAUGCAAGCGUUAUCCGGAUUCAUUGGGUUUAAAGGGUGCGUAGGCGGGGUAGUAAGUCAGUGGUGAAAGCCUGCGGCUUAACCGUAGAAUUGCCAUUGAUACUGCUAUUCUUGAGUGCAGUUGAGGUAGGCGGAAUGUGUAAUGUAGCGGUGAAAUGCUUAGAUAUUACACAGAACACCGAUUGCGUAGGCAGCUUACUAAACUGUAACUGACGCUGAGGCACGAAAGCGUGGGGAGCGAACAGGAUUAGAUACCCUGGUAGUCCACGCUGUAAACUAUGAUCACUCGCUGUUGGCGAUACAUUGUCAGCGGCUGAGCGAAAGCAUUAAGUGAUCCACCUGGGGAGUACGGCCGCAAAGUUGAAACUCAAAGGAAUUGACGGGGGCCCGCACAAGCGGUGGAACAUGUGGUUUAAUUCGAUGAUACGCGAGGAACCUUACCUGGGCUUAAAUGCAGAACGACGUACCGGGAAACUGGUACUCCCUUCGGGGCGGACUGCAAGGUGCUGCAUGGUUGUCGACAGCUCGUGCCGUGAGGUGUCGGGUUAAGUCCCAUAACGAGCGCAACCCUCAUUGUUAGUUGCCAGCGAGUAAUGUCGGGGACUCUAACGAAACUGCCGGUGUAAACCGUGAGGAAGGUGGGGAUGACGUCAAAUCAGCACGGCCCUUAUGUCCAGGGCUACACACGUGUUACAAUGGCCAGUACAAAGGGCAGCUACCACGCGAGUGGAUGCUAAUCUCUAAAGCUGGUCUCAGUUCGGAUUGAAGUCUGCAACUCGACUUCAUGAAGCUGGAAUCGCUAGUAAUCGCGCAUCAGCCAUGGCGCGGUGAAUACGUUCCCGGGCCUUGUACACACCGCCCGUCAAGCCAUGGAAGCUUGGGGUACCUGAAGUCCGUAACCGAAAGGAUCGGCACUAGGGUAAAACAAGUGA
RNAcentral lists this ribosomal RNA (1177 nucleotides) under uncultured organism. RNAcentral describes it as "bacterial SSU rRNA". It matches the Rfam family "Bacterial small subunit ribosomal RNA", at positions 288 to 1474 of the family's 1533-position model. The record is from RNAcentral.